UUUAACAUCACUUAUUCAGGUUACCAAUUUUGUUUGGUAUUAAAAGGGAACCAUGUUAAAAUCAUGGGCUGACGUUGCAACUGUAUUUCUGUUUUUUCAACUAAAAUUUGAAAUCAAAAAUUUGCUAAAUAUCAGGUCACUGUUUUGUUUUUCAACAAAAUGGGAAGGCAUUUAGUAAACAGAUAAGCCAGGAGACCUGCCGAUUAGGAUUUGUCAAG
This 218-nucleotide non-coding RNA is filed under the name Pedobacter glucosidilyticus. The record is from RNAcentral. Lineage: Bacteria; Pseudomonadati; Bacteroidota; Sphingobacteriia; Sphingobacteriales; Sphingobacteriaceae.